RNAcentral lists this ribosomal RNA (636 nucleotides) under Microcella alkaliphila. RNAcentral describes it as "bacterial SSU rRNA". It matches the Rfam family "Bacterial small subunit ribosomal RNA", at positions 64 to 709 of the family's 1533-position model. The record is from RNAcentral. Lineage: Bacteria; Bacillati; Actinomycetota; Actinomycetes; Micrococcales; Microbacteriaceae.
GAACGAUGAAGGCAGGAGCUUGCUUUUGCUGGAUUAGUGGCGAACGGGUGAGUAACACGUGAGUAACCUGCCCUUGACUCUGGGAUAAGCGUUGGAAACGACGUCUAAUACCGGAUACGAGCUAGGACCGCAUGGUCACUAGCUGGAAAGAAUUUUGGUCAAGGAUGGACUCGCGGCCUAUCAGCUAGUUGGUGAGGUAACGGCCCACCAAGGCGACGACGGGUAGCCGGCCUGAGAGGGUGACCGGCCACACUGGGACUGAGACACGGCCCAGACUCCUACGGGAGGCAGCAGUGGGGAAUAUUGCACAAUGGGCGAAAGCCUGAUGCAGCAACGCCGCGUGAGGGACGACGGCCUUCGGGUUGUAAACCUCUUUUAGCAGGGAAGAAGCGAAAGUGACGGUACCUGCAGAAAAAGCACCGGCUAACUACGUGCCAGCAGCCGCGGUAAUACGUAGGGUGCAAGCGUUGUCCGGAAUUAUUGGGCGUAAAGAGCUCGUAGGCGGUUUGUCGCGUCUGCUGUGAAAAUCCGAGGCUCAACCUCGGACCUGCAGUGGGUACGGGCAAACUAGAGUGCGGUAGGGGAGAUUGGAAUUCCUGGUGUAGCGGUGGAAUGCGCAGAUAUCAGGAGGAACAC